AGAACGAACGCUGGCGGCAUGCCUAACACAUGCAAGUCGAACGCUCACCGGGCUUCGGUUCGGUGGGAGUGGCGCACGGGUGAGUAGCGCGUGGGAACCUGCCCUGUUGUGGGGGAUAACCGAGGGAAACUUCGGCUAAUACCGCAUAAGCCGGUUGUCUUGAAAGAGAUGGCCGGGAAAGAUUUAUCGCGACAGGAGGGGCCCGCGUCGGAUUAGCUAGUUGGUGGGGUAACGCCCACCAAGGCUGUGAUCCGUAGCUGGUCUGAGAGGAUGAUCAGCCACACUGGGACUGAGACACGGCCCAGACUCCUACGGGAGGCAGCAGUGGGGGAAUAUUGGACAAUGGGCGCAAGCCUGAUCCAGCCAUGCCGCGUGGAUGAUGAAGGCCUUAGGGUUGUAAAGUCCUUUCGGCGGGGAAGAUGAUGACGGUACCCGCAGAAGAAGCCCGGCUAACUUCGUGCCAGCAGCCGC
This 471-nucleotide ribosomal RNA is filed under the name uncultured bacterium. Its description in RNAcentral is "SSU rRNA". It matches the Rfam family "Bacterial small subunit ribosomal RNA", at positions 26 to 518 of the family's 1533-position model. The record is from RNAcentral.